RNAcentral lists this ribosomal RNA (797 nucleotides) under uncultured Thermaceae bacterium. RNAcentral's name for it is "bacterial SSU rRNA". It matches the Rfam family "Bacterial small subunit ribosomal RNA", at positions 551 to 1352 of the family's 1533-position model. Lineage: Bacteria; Thermotogati; Deinococcota; Deinococci; Thermales; Thermaceae. The record is from RNAcentral.
UUACUGGGCGUAAAGGGCGUGUAGGCGGUCUUUCAAGUCCGAUGCUAAAGACUGGGGCUCAACCCCAGGGGUGCGUUGGAUACUGUGAGGCUAGACGGUCGGAGGGGGUAGCGGAAUUUCCGGAGUAGCGGUGAAAUGCGCAGAUACCGGAAGGAACGCCAAUAGCGAAGGCAGCUACCUGGACGACUUGUGACGCUGAGGCGCGAAAGCGUGGGGAGCAAACCGGAUUAGAUACCCGGGUAGUCCACGCCCUAAACCAUGAGUGCUGGGUGUCCGGCUUCUGCUGGGUGCCGUAGCUAACGCGCUAAGCACUCCGCCUGGGAAGUACGCACGCAAGUGUGAAACUCAAAGGAAUUGACGGGGGCCCGCACAAGCGGUGGAGCAUGUGGUUUAAUUCGAAGCGACGCGAAGAACCUUACCAGGCCUUGACAUGCCCGGAACCCCUCUGAAAGGAGGGGGUGCCCGCAAGGGAGCCGGGACACAGGUGCUGCAUGGCCGUCGUCAGCUCGUGUCGUGAGAUGUUGGGUUAAGUCCCGCAACGAGCGCAACCCCUAUCCCUAGUUGCCAGCAGUUCGGCUGGGCACUCUAUGGAGACUGCCUGCGAAAGCAGGAGGAAGGCGGGGAUGACGUCUGGUCCGCAUGGCCCUUACGGCCUGGGCGACACACGUGCUACAAUGCCAAGGACAGAGCGCUGCUACCUCGCGAGAGGACGCCAAUCGCAAAAACCUUGGCUCAGUUCGGAUUGGAGUCUGCAACUCGACUCCAUGAAGCCGGAAUCGGUAGUAAUCGCGAAUCAG